Molecule: ribosomal RNA, 253 nt
Filed under: uncultured bacterium
Lineage: Bacteria
Description: partial 16S ribosomal RNA
Rfam family: Bacterial small subunit ribosomal RNA
Source: RNAcentral
UACGUAGGGGGCUAGCGUUGUCCGGAAUCAUUGGGCGUAAAGAGCGUGUAGGCGGCCCGGUAAGUCCGCUGUAAAAGUCAAGGGCUCAACCCUUGAAUGCCGGUUGAUACUGUCGGGCUAGAGUCCGGAAGAGGCGAGUGGAAUUCCCGGUGUAGCGGUGAAAUGCGCAGAUAUCGGGAGGAACACCAAUGGCGAAGGCAGCUCGCUGGGACGGUACUGACGCUGAGACGCGAAAGCGUGGGGAGCAAACAGG